UGUUCACACGUACAAGAAAGAUCAAAGAC
RNAcentral lists this non-coding RNA (29 nucleotides) under Homo sapiens (human). The record is from RNAcentral. Lineage: Eukaryota; Metazoa; Chordata; Mammalia; Primates; Hominidae.